GAAUUGAUCAUCAUGAAACAUUUCACCAUUAGCAUCAAGGUUUUCUGCAGGAUCCUGCUGGAAUGAUUCUUUUCUGGCAGCAUCUGAUUGCAAAGAGAAUUCUUGUUCUAGGUUGAUUGCAGGUCCAUCUGAAAAGAACCUGAAUCUCUCCCAGCAAACUUAUUUGAAGAAUCUAUGUAAGGGGUCUGGAAAGAAUAUAAUGUCUUGACUGAAGAGCUUUUGCUUUCAUUCAUUCUGCUCAUUGACGUCCCACAAUCAGGAGUAGCAGUAAUAUAAGAACUUGAUUCCCUCUCCAUUGGUGAUUGGCUGAGCAAAGAACGCCUGUUGCAUGAAAUUAGUUAGUUUAUAUAACCUGCAACUUCACCGCAACUGAAGGCUCAAAAAUGAAUUCAAAAGAUACAGAUGGUUAUUUGACAAGAUGAUGACUUCUGAAGACACGAAGAAGAGACCUAAAAGUUAUGCAUGGACCAAGAUUCCUGUAGACUGCUCAGUAGUUAAAAAGGAAGUAAAUGGAUGUUUACAGAAAGUAACCGAACGUUUGAGUUUUUGUUUAACAGCAAGGAAGUCCAAAUCAUGAACAAUGGAACAACAACGGACAUCAGCAUUGGCAUCUUUGCUCGAACUUGAUCACAUUAUUCUUUUAUUAAAUUAUAAUUAUGUACAUACAAAAUAAGAUUAUGCACUGUGAUGGUAAUUUGCACAGAAAUCUUUCCCCUUAA
This is a non-coding RNA of Jatropha curcas, 719 nucleotides long. The record is from RefSeq and is a predicted model, not a curated record. Lineage: Eukaryota; Viridiplantae; Streptophyta; Magnoliopsida; Malpighiales; Euphorbiaceae.